RNAcentral lists this ribosomal RNA (1167 nucleotides) under uncultured bacterium. RNAcentral's name for it is "bacterial SSU rRNA". It matches the Rfam family "Bacterial small subunit ribosomal RNA", at positions 225 to 1397 of the family's 1533-position model. The record is from RNAcentral.
UUGGCCCGAUGUCCGAUUUAGGCCUAGUGCGGGUUAACGCCACAGCGAUGAUCGUAGCUUGUCUGAGAGGAUGAUUCAGCACACUGGGACUGAGACACGCCCAGACUCUACGGGAGGCAGCAGUGGGGGAUUUGGACAUUGGGGCACCCUGAUCCAGCAUUCCGCGUGAGUGAGAGGCUUCCGGGUUGUAAGCUCUUUUGUCCGGAGCGAAACGGUGGCGGUGAAUAUCCGCCACUACUGACGGUACCGGAAGAAUAAGCACCGGGCUAACUACGUGCCAGCAGCCGCGGUAAUACGUAGGGUGCGAGCGUUAAUCGGAAUUACUGGGCGUAAAGCGUGCGCAGGCGGGCUUUUAAGCCAGACGUGAAAUCCCCGGGCUCAACCUGGGAAUGGCGUUUGGGACUGGGAGUCUGGAGUGCGGCAGAGGAGACUGGAAUUCCUGGUGUAGCAGUGAAAUGCGUAGAUAUCAGGAGGAACACCGAUGGCGAAGGCAGGUCUCUGGGCUGACACUGACGCUCAUGCACGAAAGCGUGGGGAGCAAACAGGAUUAGAUACCCUGGUAGUCCACGCCCUAAACGAUGUCGACUGGUUGUUGGGGGUUUGACACUCUCAGUAACGAAGCUAACGCGUGAAGUCGACCGCCUGGGGAGUACGGCCGCAAGGUUAAAACUCAAAGGAAUUGACGGGGACCCGCACAAGCGGUGGAUUAUGUGGAUUAAUUCGAUGCAACGCGAAAAACCUUACCUACCCUUGACAUGUCCGGAAGCCUGGGGAAACCCGGGUGUGCCCGAAAGGGAACUGGAACACAGGUGCUGCAUGGCUGUCGUCAGCUCGUGUCGUGAGAUGUUGGGUUAAGUCCCGCAACGAGCGCAACCCUUGUCAUUAGUUGCUCCAUUAAGUUGAGCACUCUAAUGAGACUGCCGGUGACAAACCGGAGGAAGGUGGGGAUGACGUCAAGUCCUCAUGGCCCUUAUGGGUAGGGCUUCACACGUAAUACAAUGGCGCGUACAGAGGGUUGCGAAGCCGCGAGGUGGAGCCAAUCCCUAGAAAGCGCGUCGUAGUCCGGAUUGCAGUCUGCAACUCGACUGCAUGAAGUCGGAAUCGCUAGUAAUCGCGGAUCAGCAUGUCGCGGUGAAUACGUUCCCGGGUCUUGUACACACCGCCCGU